UACAGAGGUCUCAAGCGUUGUUCGGAUUCAUUGGGCGUAAAGGGUGCGUAGGCGGCGCGGUAAGUCGGGUGUGAAAUCUCGGAGCUUAACUCCGAAACUGCAUUCGAUACUACCGUGCUUGAGGACUGGAGAGGAGACUGGAAUUUACGGUGUAGCGGUGAAAUGCGUAGAUAUCGUAAGGAAGACCAGUGGCGAAGGCGGGUCUCUGGACAGUUCCUGACACUGAGGCACGAAGGCCAGGGGAGCAAACGGG
This 253-nucleotide ribosomal RNA is filed under the name uncultured bacterium. RNAcentral's name for it is "partial 16S ribosomal RNA". It matches the Rfam family "Bacterial small subunit ribosomal RNA", at positions 524 to 776 of the family's 1533-position model. The record is from RNAcentral.